CCUACGGGAGGCAGCAGUGAGGAAUAUUGGUCAAUGGGCGCGAGCCUGAACCAGCCAAGUAGCGUGAAGGAUGACUGCCCUACGGGUUGUAAACUUCUUUUAUAAGGGAAUAAAGUGUGGGACGUGUCCUGUUUUGUAUGUACCUUAUGAAUAAGGAUCGGCUAACUCCGUGCCAGCAGCCGCGGUAAUACGGAGGAUCCGAGCGUUAUCCGGAUUUAUUGGGUUUAAAGGGUGCGUAGGCGGCCUUUUAAGUCAGCGGUGAAAGUCUGUGGCUCAACCAUAGAAUUGCCGUUGAAACUGGGAGGCUUGAGUAUGUUUGAGGCAGGCGGAAUGCGUGGUGUAGCGGUGAAAUGCUUAGAUAUCACGCAGAACCCCGAUUGCGAAGGCAGCCUGCCAAGCCAUGACUGACGCUGAUGCACGAAAGCGUGGGGAUCAAACAGGAUUAGAUACCCGUGUAGUC
Molecule: ribosomal RNA, 460 nt
Filed under: uncultured bacterium
Lineage: Bacteria
Description: partial 16S ribosomal RNA
Rfam family: Bacterial small subunit ribosomal RNA
Source: RNAcentral